Drosophila kikkawai is the source of this 873-nucleotide long non-coding RNA. RefSeq lists it as uncharacterized. The record is from RefSeq and is a predicted model, not a curated record. Lineage: Eukaryota; Metazoa; Arthropoda; Insecta; Diptera; Drosophilidae.
AUCAAAACCCCGUACCGGCAACAUCACAAAAAAAAAUUAAAAAAAAAAAAAACAAAUUAUCUACUUUUUAAAAUUUUUGGUCAACAAGAUUAUAUAUUUUGUAUUUUUUUUUUCGUUCUUAGUCUUAAGCGUAAAGUUUAUAAUCUAGAUUAAGUUCCAAUAUAUUAAUCAUUAUUAAGCAUAAUUGACAAGCAUAAAAUCCAGGAGAAGGACAAGUGUAAAAGGAACCGCACAAACGCAGCACAGAAGCUUAAUACAAGACACACACACGCUAACAAUGGAUGCAAAUGGGAAACGCCCCACCUAGAUAUGUAAAUAUAUAAUAUAAGUAAUUAGGAGAAGCUGUAAAGGAACUACAACAACAAUAACCAGACACCAAUCAUACCAAAAACCACAAAUGCCGAACAAACAGGAGAUCCUUAAAACGAAUGAAAGGGGCCUUUGGGGACACAUAAUGUAUAAUGUCAAGAGCAUGCUUUUGAAAAUAACGAUAACGGAGGUACGAGGGUAGUCAUCAUGGAUAGAAGUCAGUUGAAGAUCAGGAAUUAGGGACGAAACCAAAAAAAAAAAUAGCAAAAAGGAAAAACCGAAGAAAAAAAUAGUAAAAACGGAACCUAGAAAAAAAAAAGCAAAAAAAGGAAAGCCAACACCUAAACACAGAAAGACGAGUAUCAAAAUUAUGAUGCGCGACAUGAAAAUCAAGCGAAAAGUCCCCCAACAAGGAUCCUUCGAAACGAUAACCAGGAUUGGAAAUCCAUGUGCAACCCCAACUGAAGCUGGUUUUGGUGGGAAGACAAGGCUCCAAGCGCGAUCCUAUCUGUGGGUUUUCAUUUUAUAUUUAUUAUUUGGCUUACAAAAAUACACUUAAAAAAA